Long non-coding RNA from Procambarus clarkii (red swamp crayfish), 1076 nucleotides. RefSeq lists it as uncharacterized. The record is from RefSeq and is a predicted model, not a curated record. NCBI's taxonomy places the organism in Eukaryota, Metazoa, Arthropoda, Malacostraca, Decapoda, Cambaridae.
AGAAGGAGAAGCAGGCACCAGGCGAGACCUGCCCACAGUUUUGGAACUCCGGCCACUGCUGCUACUGCUGCUCAAACUACUGCUGAAGCUGCUGCCAAGGCUGCUGCUGCUGUUCUUUUCAUCACUGGUAAAGCAGCAAAUGGAAAGCAGAGGCCAUUACUGGAGGAACAUGUAGUACCUUAGCCACCUGGUGCUUACCUACCUUUCUGCGGUUACUGAAGAUGAGGCAGUAAGGACUCGGUGGAUAGUCUGUAGUGGUGGUGAUGUUGUCUGCACCGUGGACCAUGAUGUAGAGCACCCAGCACCUGUGUACACACAAGCAAGUGAAUGACAGUAAGGACACCCUGAGCCAGCGUGUCUCCAGGGCGGGUCUCUGGCACGAUGACAUCUGUUGAGUGGAUGUUGAUCUCCAACUGACCUGGGUCAACCCAGGCUGUGGAGAGAGCAUCCAUAACGAGUGAGUGGAGCCAUGUCUUGAGCACUGGUACCUCCAUCAUCUGAACUGCCUGCCGCCAGAGAGGAAACCAGUCUCAGUUGGGGCUGAAGAGUUAGUGUACAGUAGAUGAUGGGGAGGGGUUAAGACUUGUGAGGAAUUGUUGUCUUGAACAAAAGAAGCUGUGAAAGAUGAAAUGGAAGAGAGGGGAGUAUGUGAGGCAGUAAAGGACAUAGGCCAUGACUCAAUUCACUUUAGAACAUAAUAAGAUAACAAUAUUAAUUUGUUCUGACAUAAUCUGCAUAAGAUUAAUAUGUACCUAUUGCAUGCCUAAUGUUUAACAUGCUCUUAUGUGACUUAUAACCACUCUCACUCUUCAUGGCUCUGCUCUUUAUUGGCUUCACUUAACUUUUACUACCUAUGUUUCAUCUUUUUACCAUAAGCAUUGUGGAAAUAGGUUUUAUGAGUGUAGGUGAUAUCUAGUAAGCAGUUGCUCAUGUAUCUUAUUUUGCCUGUCUGGGUAUAUAGAAAUAGAGACAGGGUAUAAGGAGGUCAUCAAAAUAUAGCCAGGGCUCAGGGAGGUCAUCAAGGUAUAGAGCUCAGAAGUCAACAAGAACAGAUAUAGUUCAAAGUCAGGCAAAAA